RNAcentral lists this transfer RNA (74 nucleotides) under Scherffelia dubia. RNAcentral's name for it is "tRNA-Arg". It matches the Rfam family "tRNA". Rfam says of the family: Transfer RNA (tRNA) molecules are approximately 80 nucleotides in length. Their secondary structure includes four short double-helical elements and three loops (D, anti-codon, and T loops). Further hydrogen bonds mediate the characteristic L-shaped molecular structure. tRNAs have two regions of fundamental functional importance: the anti-codon, which is responsible for specific mRNA codon recognition, and the 3' end, to which the tRNAs corresponding amino acid is attached (by aminoacyl-tRNA synthetases). tRNAs cope with the degeneracy of the genetic code in two manners: having more than one tRNA (with a specific anti-codon) for a particular amino acid; and 'wobble' base-pairing, i.e. permitting non-standard base-pairing at the 3rd anti-codon position. The record is from RNAcentral. Lineage: Eukaryota; Viridiplantae; Chlorophyta; Chlorodendrophyceae; Chlorodendrales; Chlorodendraceae.
GAGUUUGUAGCUCAGCGGAUAAGAGCACUUGUUUCCGACACAUGUGGACGAGGGUUCAAUUCCCUCCAAACUCG